AUUGAACGCUGGCGGCAGGCUUAACGCAUGCAAGUCGAGCGGGGGAAGGUAGCUUGCUACUGGACCUAGCGGCGGACGGGUGAGUAAUGCUUAGGAAUCUGCCUAUUAGUGGGGGACAACAUCUCGAAAGGGAUGCUAAUACCGCAUAAUAUCUUCUUCCGCAUGGAAGAAGAUUGAAAGACGGCUCUGCUGUCACUUAUAGAUGACCUUGCGGUGCAUUAGUUAGUUGGUGGGGUAACGGCCUACCAAGACGAUGAUGCAUAGCCGACCUGAGAGGGUGAUCGGCCACAUUGGGACUGAGACACGGCCCAGACUCCUACGGGAGGCAGCAGUAGGGAAUCUUCCGCAAUGGGCGAAAGCCUGACGGCGCAAUGCCGCGUGAGUGAAGAAGGCCUUCGGGUCGUAAAACUCUGUUAUAAGAGAAGAACAAAUUGUAGAGUAACUGCUACAGUCUUGACGGUAUCUUAUCAGAAAGCCACGGCUAACUACGUGCCAGCAGCCGCAGUAA
RNAcentral lists this ribosomal RNA (508 nucleotides) under uncultured bacterium. RNAcentral's name for it is "partial 16S ribosomal RNA". It matches the Rfam family "Bacterial small subunit ribosomal RNA", at positions 30 to 523 of the family's 1533-position model. The record is from RNAcentral.